GUGGGGAAUCUUGCGCAAUGGGCGAAAGCCUGACGCAGCCAUGCCGCGUGAAUGAUGAAGGUCUUAGGAUUGUAAAAUUCUUUCACCGGGGACGAUAAUGACGGUACCCGGAGAAGAAGCUCCGGCUAACUUCGUGCCAGCAGCCGCGGUAAUACGAAGGGGGCUAGCGUUGCUCGGAAUUACUGGGCGUAAAGGGCGCGUAGGCGGACAGCUUAGUCAGAGGUGAAAGCCCAGGGCUCAACCUUGGAAUUGCCUUUGAUACUGGCUGUCUUGAGUUUGGGAGAGGUGAGUGGAACUCCGAGUGUAGAGGUGAAAUUCGUAGAUAUUCGGAAGAACACCAGUGGCGAAGGCGACUCACUGGCCCAAUACUGACGCUGAGGCGCGAAAGCGUGGGGAGCAAACAGGAUUAGAAACCCGGGUAGUCA
Molecule: ribosomal RNA, 425 nt
Filed under: uncultured bacterium
Lineage: Bacteria
Description: partial 16S ribosomal RNA
Rfam family: Bacterial small subunit ribosomal RNA
Source: RNAcentral